GGCGGCAGGCCUAACACAUGCAAGUCGAGCGGAUGAGAAGAGCUUGCUCUUCGAUUCCACGGCGGACCGGGUGAGUAAUGCCUAGGAAUCUGCCUGGUAGUGGGGGACAACGUUUCGAAAGGAACGCUAAUACCGCAUACGUCCUACGGGAGAAAGCAGGGGACCUUCGGGCCUUGCGCUAUCAGAUGAGCCUAGGUCGGAUUAGCUAGUUGGUGAGGUAAUGGCUCACCAAGGCGACGAUCCGUAACUGGUCUGAGAGGAUGAUCAGUCACACUGGAACUGAGACACGGUCCAGACUCCUACGGGAGGCAGCAGUGGGGAAUAUUGGACAAUGGGCGAAAGCCUGAUCCAGCCAUGCCGCGUGUGUGAAGAAGGUCUUCGGAUUGUAAAGCACUUUAAGUUGGGAGGAAGGGCAGUUUCCUAAUACGAAAUGUUUGACGUA
Molecule: ribosomal RNA, 442 nt
Filed under: Pseudomonas sp. 01WB02.1-54a
Lineage: Bacteria; Pseudomonadati; Pseudomonadota; Gammaproteobacteria; Pseudomonadales; Pseudomonadaceae
Description: bacterial SSU rRNA
Rfam family: Bacterial small subunit ribosomal RNA
Source: RNAcentral